RNAcentral lists this ribosomal RNA (450 nucleotides) under uncultured bacterium. Its description in RNAcentral is "partial 16S ribosomal RNA". It matches the Rfam family "Bacterial small subunit ribosomal RNA", at positions 338 to 795 of the family's 1533-position model. The record is from RNAcentral.
CCUACGGGGGGCUGCAGUAAGGAAUAUUGGUCAAUGGGCGCAAGCCUGAACCAGCCAUGCCGCGUGAAGGAUGACGGCCCUAUGGGUUGUAAACUUCUUUUGUACGGGAAAAAACCACCGGUCGUGAAUCGGUGCUGAUGGUACCGUAAGAAUAAGCAUCGGCUAACUCCGUGCCAGCCGCCGCGGUAAUACGGAGGAUGCAAGCGUUAUGCGGUUUAAUUGGGUUUAGAGGGUGCACUAAGGCAACGGUGAAAUCUUACAGCUUAACUGUAGAACUGCCAUUGAUACUGUUAUUCUUGAGUGUUGUUGAGGUAGGCGGAAUGUGUCAUGUAGCGGUGAAAUGCUUAGAUAUGACACAGAACACCGAUCGCGAAGGCAGCUUACCAAGCAACAACUGACGCUCAUGCACGAAAGCGUGGGGAUCAAACAGGAUUAGAUACCCCUGUAGUC